GCACCAGACUCCUACGGGAGGCAGCAGUGAGGAAUAUUGGUCAAUGGGCGCGAGCCUGAACCAGCCAAGUCGCGUGAGGGAAGACGGUCCUAUGGAUUGUAAACCUCUUUUGUCGGGGAGCAAAAGACGCCACGCGUGGCGUUCCGAGAGUACCCGAAGAAAAAGCAUCGGCUAACUCCGUGCCAGCAGCCGCGGUAAUACGGAGGGUGCAAGCGUUGUCCGGAAUCAUUGGGCGUAAAGAGUUCGUAGGUGGCAUAUUAAGUCUGGUGUUAAAUGCAGAAGCUCAACUUCUGUUCGGCACUGGAUACUGGUAAGCUUGAAUGCGGUAGAGGUAAAGGGAAUUCCUGGUGUAGCGGUGAAAUGCGUAGAUAUCAGGAGGAACAUCGGUGGCGUAAGCGCUUUACUGGGCCGUAAUUGACACUGAGGAACGAAAGCCGGGGUAGCAAAUGGGAUUAGAUACCCCUGUAGA
RNAcentral lists this ribosomal RNA (469 nucleotides) under uncultured bacterium. Its description in RNAcentral is "partial 16S ribosomal RNA". It matches the Rfam family "Bacterial small subunit ribosomal RNA", at positions 328 to 794 of the family's 1533-position model. The record is from RNAcentral.